RNAcentral lists this ribosomal RNA (1259 nucleotides) under Cuapetes uncinatus. Its description in RNAcentral is "SSU rRNA". It matches the Rfam family "Eukaryotic small subunit ribosomal RNA", at positions 607 to 1810 of the family's 1831-position model. Lineage: Eukaryota; Metazoa; Arthropoda; Malacostraca; Decapoda; Palaemonidae. The record is from RNAcentral.
AAGUUGUUGCGGUUAAAAGCUCGUAGUUCGAGCUCAGUUCCGGACUGGCCGGGGAGGUCACCGCCCGGUGCUUCCCCGUCAGGCUCCGAACAGCCUUCGUGAGCGGAGGCCAAGCCGGUUCUGCCGGGGUGCUCUUUACCGAGUGUCCCGCGCGGCCGGCCAGUUCACCUUGAAUAAAUGAGAGUGCUCAAAGCAGGCUACUCUCGAAUACAAUGCCCGAAUGUUACCUGCAUGGAAUGAUGGAAGAUGAUCUCGGUUCCAUUUUAUUGGUGGUGGGAGCCCGAGGUAAUGAUAAACAGGGACUGUCGGGGGCAUCCGUACUACGACGCGAGAGGUGAAAUUCAGUGACCGUCGUAGGACGAACAACAGCGAAAGCAUUUGCCAAGAAUGUCUUCGUUGAUCAAGAACGAAAGUUAGAGGAUCGAAGGCGAUCAGAUACCGCCCUAGUUCUAACCCUAAACGAUGCUGACUAGCAAUUCGCCGUCGUUAUUCCCAUGACGUGGCGAGACGCCCCCGGGAAACCUCAAGUCUUUGAGUUCCGGGGGUAGUAUGGUUGCAAAACUGAAACUUAAANNNNNNGACGGAAGGGCACCACCAGGAGUGGAGCCUGCGGCUUAAUUUGACUCAACACGGGAAACCUCACCAGGCCCGGACACCAGAAGGAUUGACAGAUUAAGAGCUCUUUCUCGAUUUGGUGGGUGGUGGUGCAUGGCCGUUCUUAGUUGGUGGAGUGAUUUGUCUGGUUAAUUCCGGUAACGAACGAGACUCUGGCCUACUAAAUAGUCGACGGGCGUUUUGGUGCAUGGGCCCCGUUCGACACAGUCUUCUUAGAGGGAUGAGCAGCGAGUAUAGCUGCAGGAGAUUGAGCAAUAACAGGUCUGUGAUGCCCUUAGAUGUCCUGGGCCGCACGCGCGCUACACUGAAUGGGUUAGCGGGUUGUCCUUCUCCGAGAGGAGCGGGAAAUCGCUUGAAAACCAUUCGUGAUAGGGAUUGGGGCUUGCAAUUGUUUCCCAUGAACGAGGAAUUCCCAGUAAGCGCAAGUCAUCAGCUUGCGUUGAUUAAGUCCCUGCCCUUUGUACACACCGCCCGUCGCUACUACCGAUUGAAUGAUUUAGUGAGGCCUUCGGACUGGCGGUCUUGGACUGGGGCGCCGGCGUUUCUCAGCAAUGGGGACCCGGCGACCCGCCUAGACGGGCCGGAAAGAUGUCCAAACUUGAUCAUUUAGAGGAAGUAAAAGUCGUAACAAGGUUUCCGUAGGU